UAAAUUAAAAAAAAAAAAAAAAGCAAAACUCUUCAAAAACAAUUAUUUUUUGUAGAGUGAAUUUUUUUCUUUCUGCAAAAUGCUGUAACAAUUCCACUUUCAUGAGACUAUAGUGAGGUUGUCCUAUCAGAAGUAAAAAAAAAAAAAAAAAGCAAAUAUUUAAUGCAAGGUCAAAACAAGUUAAAACUUAAUUUGAAUUUUUCAAAAUUACAUGUGAUAUAUAUAUACACACACAUAUGUAUAUAUACAUAUGCAAAUAUAUGUAUAUGUAAGUAAGGAUUACCCCUUAAAUGAGGUAUCUUUCUUCUGGAAAUUAGCAAGAAAGAGAUAAACACUCAUCAAUCUGUAUUGAUUUAAUGAAGCCUGAUUGGAAGACAGGAAAUGACUUAAGUGACUUCAGGAACAGAGGCCCUUUUAGUUGCUAUUGCUUUAUUCUCAGUUUAUCAUUUGUUUGUAGGUCUUUUAUACAGUUAUUCAUAUAUUUCAGUGAAAUCUGUGCAUGUUUCUUGAUCCACUUCCACUGAUAAAAAGAAUGAAGAUUGUUUCAUCUACACCUUUCAAGUGCAUUUGAUUGUCAAAUUACUAGUAAUGAUCUAAAGAGGGAACUGUAUGAGAGGAGGAGGAAAGUGUCUUCAUCAUCAAUCUCUCACACACUCAGAGGGGAAAAAAAGAAUGUUUUCUUUCAACAUUUAGUGUAUGUCCUUCGGGACAUGAUGCUUUAUCAAGAAAGAGCAAGAGGAAUUCAGUUCCAUCAGUGGAAAACAGAAAAUAAUGAGGAGACAGCAAUGUCUUACGGGAUUGGUGUGUGAAACACACACACAGACACACACACUUUCUCUUUCCUUUCUUCCUGAUUGACUCUACUCUUAUUAACACAAUUCUGAAAUAGUUUCUUAAAUAAUAAGCAGGACUGUGCUAAGAAAUAAAGAUUGAUUUUUCUCUUGUUCUAGAUUAAGGUUUAAAACAUACAUACAGAUUCCAUAAUAAAUUCACUAAUUACCCCUAAAUCAUGUGGUCCAAUUCCAAGCCAGACAAAAUUUAUUUUGAAUUGUUUUAAAUCACUAUUUUCUUUCAUAAGUAAGGAAAAUCCAGCAUUGGCUCUAAUUACCUAUGUGUAUGCAUAUGUUAUAGCUUAAGACAGAACACUAGCUUGCUCUCUGUAAGGAAGACUAGUUAGCAUACUCAAAAACACAUUUUUAUUCCCUUAAGUAAUUACUUAAUUAAUGCCUUCCAUCUUGAUUAUGGCCUUAGUAAUGAAAAUAUCUUUCAUUUUUAAGUAUAUAUGUGAACUUUUCACAUUUCCUAUACCGUAGAAUCAAAGUAGACAGUUUUUUUUAAAAACAAUAAGCAAACAAAAAAAUCACCCUAGGAAUACACAGUCACUACAUCAAGAAACAUAAGCCAUCCAAAAUAAAAAAAAUUUAAUCAUUGAAUUUUAUAAUAAUGAGUACAUUAUUAUAUAUUAAUUUCUAGACUGGAGGAGCCACACAGAAACAUAAUUCCAGUUUUUCUCAUUGGUAAAUUAACAAGGAAAUGAGUAAAUUGAAGCAAUUAGGCAGACAGAGCAGGCUUUAUAAACAUGACAGUUAACAUUCAUGGAGCACUUACUAUUUGUCAAGCACUGUUUUAAGCAUUUUACAUGUUUUCAUUGUAAAUCAUGUAAUCCUCACACCAGCAAUCACAUAAGGUAGGUAGUUUGACCUCAUUCUAAAAUGAAGUCGCAAAAACUAAAAGGCUUGACCAUGGUCGUCCAGCUACUAGAGCCAGGAUUCCAACUCAAGUUCAGGGUGACUUUAGGGCUGCUGGAUCACAAACACAUCUUCACAAAUAAAUAUUUACAAAUCUAAGCUGAUGGAGUUUAUCUGUAACUCCUUUUGUGUUACUAUAUUUUUAGAAACUUUUGUGUGGAGAGAGAACAAAUGAAAUGUUUCAGGUGAAAAGAAGUAUGUCUUGAAUUUCCUCUUCCUCAGGCAAGCUCAGUAUUUUUCCUCUCAAGACCCUCUACUGAUUGAAUGUGGUCCACCCACAGUAUAAAGGAAAAUCUUCUUCAAAGUUUGCUAGUUUAAACAUGAAUCUCAUCUUUAAAUAUAUUCAAAGACAUCUAGCUAGGCACUGUGACAUAGCCAAGUUGACACAUAAAGUAAACCAUCACAACUGUACACUUGUGUGUGUUUGUACAUUUAUAUAUUAUGGUUGAAAACAAAUUAGCAAAAUCCUUAACAGAGAAGAAGGAUUAGCCAACCCUGAAACAAUACCUACUGAGCACCUAUUAUUUGCUAGAAGUCAGACUACAGAAAAGGUCCCAAAUUUCCACAAUCUGGGUGGGAAAAGUUCGAGACUAGAGAGACAGACCAACCAUGCAACACUGUGCUGUGAUUUAAUGAAAAGGUUGGGACAGAGAUCUGUGGGAAGAUGGGAGAAAGAGUAAUGGACUCCCUUAUGCCCGCUCCAGGGUCUGAGAAGAAUCUCAAAGAGGAGACACCUGAGCCCCAUGGAGGAAGAAGACAGUUUCACUGGGAGUGGAGAGCUAGAACAAAGAUGUGAAGACCCAGACAUAAAUGAGAGGAAUUUAAGGAUUUGUACAAAAUCUAAGGAGAUUAGAGCACAGCAUUCAUGAUGGAGAGUGAAGAAAGGUCCUAUUAAUAGUAGGAGAAGAAAUAACGUUUAAAACAGGCCUAUGGAGGCAGGAAAGCCAUUUAAGAGAGAGAGAGAGUUGAACUCUUAAAACUUAGCAAGAUUGGGGGGAAAAUUAGGAGGAAAAACUCAAAAUUGUUUUUUUGAAUUAAAAUGUAUAUAUAUUAUGUGCAAUUUCUAAGGGAGAAGGAAUUCUUUCAACAGUAUAUAUUGAGUACCUACUCUGUAUUGGACUAUAAAGAUGAAUGAGAGAAUAUAAAUGAUUAUGAUGCAUGAUACAUAUAAUAAAAAAAAUGGACAAACAUGAACUUGACAGAGUCAAGAGAGACCGUACAGCGGAGGUUAUACCCAGGUUAAGUUAUGAUAGAUGACUAACAGUAUGAAGAAGAAAACCUGGCAAGAGAGAUAGAAUUCAGAAGGGCACUUAGAUAUGAACAAAAUUUGUGUUCAGGGGUCACAGGUGGUCAGGAGUAUAAAGAGUACAGGAGAGUAAGAACCGGAAGAGGAGUCAGAUUAGGAAGAACUUUGCUUGUAUUUUACUGAAAAACAAUCACAGAAAUAGUGUGAUCUGAUGGUUCUGGCAGAUAUAUGGAGAAAACUAAUUGGGAGUCAUAUUAGUUUCCUAGAGCUGUCAUAACAAAUUACCCCAAACUUUAUGGCAUAAGAAAUUUAAUAAAGGUAUCAACAGGCUACACUCCCUCUGAAGCCUGUAGGGGAGAAUCUUCUCUGUCUCUUCCAGCUUUUGCCGGCUCCUGGCAUUCCUUGGCUUCUGGCAGCAUCACUCUGAUCUCUUCCUCCAUCUCCACAUGGUCUUCUUCCUUAUAUAUGUCUCUCUCUUUUUCUCUCUUACAGGACACUCAGACUCUAAUUUAGAAUGGCCUCAUCUUGAUUCUUACUUUAAGUACAUUUGCAAAGCCUUACUUCCAAAUAAAGGCAAAUCCUAAGAUUCCAGAUGGACAUACAUUUUUGGGAAAAACAAUUCAACCUACAGCAAGAGGCCAUUGCAAUAGCACAUUCAGAGAAGUGUAAUCAUCCCAGACAAAGCAGAGCAGAGGAGAUAAAAUAAGUAAGAAGGCGGUCACAGUAAUAGGAAGUCCAUGUUUGGAGAAAGAAGUGAAGAUAGAAAUUGAAGAAAUUUGCUGGAGAAACCAGGUGGAUUCUAGUACCAGUGGUUGAGAUAGGAACUAUAUAAGUAAUAAUAAAUUUGAAAGAUGGGUUCUGAGGUAUGAAAAAUUUUGAAAAGUUCAGUUUCAUACACUGUAAAUUACUUUGAGAAUGAGAGAAAAAAGUUAUUAAAUGGCUUAGAUGGCUGGGUGUGUGAUGGUGAUACCAUUAACUAUAGUUGGAUAAACAAUGAAAUAAAUUUUUUUUUUAAGAAAAUAAGGUUAGUUUUAAGAAUCAUAAGUUUGAAGGGGAGGUGGUAUAUAGAUGCAAGAGAAGAAGUAGACCAUGAAGCAGGAAAUAGGCACUUGGUGUCCUGGAAAAGUGCUGACAAUGUUUAGCAGUUUAACGGCAGAAGACAAAGGUCUUGUCGGAAACUGAGACACGUGGAAAACAGUGAUAAGAGAGGAGUGUCAGUGAAGUUAAGAAAAGUUUCACUAAGAGAGUGUCUCAACAAGGUGAGAAUUUGGGAUGAUCUCUUCACAUGUUGUUGGAGAUCAUGGUUUGUCUCUGGCCAAGGGGCUGAAUUGCAGCCUGGGUGCCUACACCAUCCGAGGAAGAGUAAAUCCAGACAUAGGGAGUGAAGACACCCAAUACUGUAAGUGAAAAAUCAACUCGUUAAACAAUUCAGAUUGCAAGAUCCCAAAUAAAAAACUAUUUAGGAGUUCCCUUUGUGGCUCAGUGGUUAACGAACCUGACUAGAAUCCAUGAGGACGUGGGUUCCAUCCCUGGCCUUGCUCAGUGGGUUAAGGGUCUGGCACUGCUGUGAGCUGUGGUGUAGAUCGCAGAUGAGGCUCAGGCCCCACGUUGCUGUGGCUGUGGUGUAGGCCAGCAGCUGUAGCUCUGAUUCAGUCCCUAGCCUGGGAACUUCCAUAUGCCG
RNAcentral lists this long non-coding RNA (4675 nucleotides) under Sus scrofa (pig). RNAcentral's name for it is "lncRNA (ENSSSCG00050025434.1)". Lineage: Eukaryota; Metazoa; Chordata; Mammalia; Artiodactyla; Suidae. The record is from RNAcentral.